AACGGGUGAGUAACGCGUGGAGGAACCUGCCUCAAAGAGGGGGACAACAGGUUGGAAACGACUGCUAAUACCGCAUAAGCCCACGGGUCGGCAUCGACCAGAGGGAAAAGGAGCAAUCCGCUUUGAGAUGGCCUCGCGUCCGAUUAGCUAGUUGGUGAGGUAACGGCCCACCAAGGCGACGAUCGGUAGCCGGACUGAGAGGUUGAACGGCCACAUUGGGACUGAGACACGGCCCAGACUCCUACGGGAGGCAGCAGUGGGGAAUAUUGCACAAUGGGGGAAACCCUGAUGCAGCGACGCCGCGUGGAGGAAGAAGGUCUUCGGAUUGUAAACUCCUGUUGUUGAGGAAGAUAAUGACGGUACUCAACAAGGAAGUGACGGCUAACUACGUGCCAGCAGCCGCGGUAAAACGUAGGUCACAAGCGUUGUCCGGAAUUACUGGGUGUAAAGGGAGCGCAGGCGGGAAGACAAGUUGGGAGUGAAAUCCAUGGGCUCAACCCAUGAACUGCUUUCAAAACUGUUUUUCUUGAGUAGUGCAGAGGUAGGCGGAAUUCCCGGUGUAGCGGUGGAAUGCGUAGAUAUCGGGAGGAACACCAGUGGCGAAGGCGGCCUACUGGGCACCAACUGACGCUGAGGCUCGAAAGUGUGGGUAGCAAACAGGAUUAGAUACCCUGGUAGUCCACACCGUAAACGAUGAUUACUAGGUGUUGGAGGAUUGACCCCUUCAGUGCCGCAGUUAACACAAUAAGUAAUCCACCUGGGGAGUACGACCGCAAGGUUGAAACUCAAAGGAAUUGACGGGGGGCCCGCACAAGCAGUGGAGUAUGUGGUUUAAUUCGACGCAACGCGAA
RNAcentral lists this ribosomal RNA (851 nucleotides) under uncultured bacterium. RNAcentral describes it as "bacterial SSU rRNA". It matches the Rfam family "Bacterial small subunit ribosomal RNA", at positions 101 to 965 of the family's 1533-position model. The record is from RNAcentral.